CUUCAACACUAACAGCUUUAGCUAAUGAAAAGACCCUUGAAACAAGUUUUAUUAGGGAUGAAGAAGAACGUCCAAAAGUUGCUUACAAUAAAUUUAGUGACGAAAUUCCAGUAAUAUCGUUGCAAGGUAUUGAUGAUGUUAAUGGAAGAAGAAGUGAAAUAUGUGAGAGAAUCGUAAAUGCUUGUGAAGAUUGGGGUGUUUUUCAGGUAAUUGAUCAUGGGGUUGAUGCUCAAUUAAUAUCACAAAUGACAAAAUUAGCGAAGGAAUUUUUCGAAUUGCCUCCUGAGGAAAAGCUUCGGUUUGACAUGUCUGGUGGCAAGAAAGGUGGCUUCAUUGUCUCAAGCCACUUACAGGGUGAAGUGGUUCAAGACUGGCGUGAAAUAGUGACUUACUUUUCAUACCCCAUUCGAGCUAGAGACUAUUCUAGAUGGCCAGACAAACCACAAGGCUGGAUAGGUGUAACUGAGCAAUACAGUGAAAAGUUGAUGGAUUUGGCUUGCAAAUUAUUAGAAGUACUAUCAGAGGCAAUGGGCUUAGAGAAAGAGGCUUUAACCAAGGCAUGUGUCGAUAUGGACCAA
RNAcentral lists this unclassified non-coding RNA (578 nucleotides) under Hevea brasiliensis (rubber tree). The record is from RNAcentral. Lineage: Eukaryota; Viridiplantae; Streptophyta; Magnoliopsida; Malpighiales; Euphorbiaceae.